Lupinus angustifolius (narrow-leaved blue lupine) is the source of this 61-nucleotide transfer RNA. It matches the Rfam family "tRNA". Rfam says of the family: Transfer RNA (tRNA) molecules are approximately 80 nucleotides in length. Their secondary structure includes four short double-helical elements and three loops (D, anti-codon, and T loops). Further hydrogen bonds mediate the characteristic L-shaped molecular structure. tRNAs have two regions of fundamental functional importance: the anti-codon, which is responsible for specific mRNA codon recognition, and the 3' end, to which the tRNAs corresponding amino acid is attached (by aminoacyl-tRNA synthetases). tRNAs cope with the degeneracy of the genetic code in two manners: having more than one tRNA (with a specific anti-codon) for a particular amino acid; and 'wobble' base-pairing, i.e. permitting non-standard base-pairing at the 3rd anti-codon position. NCBI's taxonomy places the organism in Eukaryota, Viridiplantae, Streptophyta, Magnoliopsida, Fabales, Fabaceae. The record is from Rfam.
GUCGGGAUAGCUCAGCUAGUAGAGCAGAGGACUAAAAAUCCUCAUGUCACCGUUCCUGGCA